AUUGAACGCUGGCGGCAUGCCUUACACAUGCAAGUCGAACGGCAGCACGGGUGCUUGCACCUGGUGGCGAGUGGCGAACGGGUGAGUAUACAUCGGAACAUGUCCUGUAGUGGGGGAUAGCCCGGCGAAAGCCGGAUUAAUACCGCAUACGAUCUACGGAUGAAAGCGGGGGACCUUCGGGCCUCGCGCUAUAGGGUUGGCCGAUGGCUGAUUAGCUAGUUGGUGGGGUAAAGGCCUACCAAGGCGACGAUCAGUAGCUGGUCUGAGAGGACGACCAGCCACACUGGGACUGAGACACGGCCCAGACUCCUACGGGAGGCAGCAGUGGGGAAUUUUGGACAAUGGGCGAAAGCCUGAUCCAGCAAUGCCGCGUGUGUGAAGAAGGCCUUCGGGUUGUAAAGCACUUUUGUCCGGAAAGAAAUCCUUGGCCCUAAUACGGUCGGGGGAUGACGGUACCGGAAGAAUAAGCACCGGCUAACUACGUG
This 485-nucleotide ribosomal RNA is filed under the name uncultured bacterium. Its description in RNAcentral is "partial 16S ribosomal RNA". It matches the Rfam family "Bacterial small subunit ribosomal RNA", at positions 30 to 507 of the family's 1533-position model. The record is from RNAcentral.